UGCGGAGGGUGCAAGCGUUGCUCGGAAUUAUUGGGCGUAAAGCGUGCGCAGGCGGUUAUUUAAGUCAGGUGUGAAAGCCCUGGGCUUAACCUAGGAAUUGCGCUUGAGACUGGAUAGCUUGGAGUGCGGCAGAGGGAGGUGGAAUUCCACGUGUAGCAGUGAAAUGCGUAGAGAUGUGGAGGAACACCGAUGGCGAAGGCAGCCUCCUGGGCCAGCACUGACGCUCAUGCACGAAAGCGUGGGGAGCAAACAGG
This 254-nucleotide ribosomal RNA is filed under the name uncultured bacterium. RNAcentral's name for it is "partial 16S ribosomal RNA". It matches the Rfam family "Bacterial small subunit ribosomal RNA", at positions 524 to 776 of the family's 1533-position model. The record is from RNAcentral.